Molecule: long non-coding RNA, 534 nt
Organism: Leptidea sinapis
Lineage: Eukaryota; Metazoa; Arthropoda; Insecta; Lepidoptera; Pieridae
Exons: 4
Source: RefSeq, a predicted model, not a curated record
CCGUACGAGAAGGUGCCGUCCGAGACGUUCUGGGCCGCCCCUCGAGCCUCGAACCACGUGGGUUCCUGUAGUGCCGUGCACCGGUGGAUGCUGUGUGGCGAGGAGCAGUAAAGAUAUCAAGAUUUGAAUGGUGGGUGUACUGGCUGUUAGCAGUGGGUGUGUUCCUGCUGUUUCUUCUCAUCAAUUGUCUUGUUAAGAAACUAAAUGAAAACGGGCUCGAGAAAAAGCUGAAUGUGAUGUUAGCUACCAAUCGAAGAAUAAUUUCGACCCAGGUUCAAGAAGAGGAAAUACCAGAAAACAGGCAAAGGUUAAAUGGAAAUAUUCCGCCCAGUGGAAAGAAAACGUUAAAAUCAAUAAAUGGACAAGAAAGUGGUAAAUAUGCUGAUAUUGACAAGAACGGUAUAGCUUCGCUAAAUAACCAUUAUGAUAAAUUAUGGAUAUCGGACCUUAUACUAAAUUCUGUUCCAAGUCGAUUGUUCGAGAUUUAAUAUGACUCUAAUAUAUUAAUAGGUUUGUUUCGACUUGGUAAUAAAA